Molecule: long non-coding RNA, 1092 nt
Organism: Uranotaenia lowii
Lineage: Eukaryota; Metazoa; Arthropoda; Insecta; Diptera; Culicidae
Exons: 4
Source: RefSeq, a predicted model, not a curated record
CGAAGCGAGAAAAAAUCAAAGUUUUGUUUUCCUUUUACGCGAAUUUUGUUGGAGGAAGAUAAAAUUCCAUUGAUUAACUUGUUCCAGAACUCGCACCAACCAACGAUGUCAACAUUGCUGAUCUGUGCGUGCGGGUGGAAUUGCUGUGGUUCUGUUUGGUGUUCCCGGUGCGUUCAUCCCAGGCCGCUCCGAAAUUCCAUCUGGACGGGUGUUGACAAAAACUUCCUGUGAGUGCCGGCCAACUAUUUAGUUGUGAUGACCUCCCGCGGAAGAGUCCAUAACACAGCUGGCGUGGCGCGAAAUACGAAAGAGUUGAACCUAUACAUCGAAUUCCUCCGCUGGAUGGGGGCUGCUCGAUUGAUCAACCAGCGCUUUAGUUCCGGCAACGUUGAUGCUGUUCACGGAAGCGAAUCAAUUUAUAGGGCAGAACAUUCUACCUGAGUUUGCUCGCUGAGGACGAAGAAAGUUAUUGGCCAUUCCGAUGGCACAUCACAGGCUUCUGAAAACUCACAACGAUUGUCUAAAGGUUGGCAGUCGGAAGUUGAAUAACUCGAGACUGAAGGUGUGAGCAUUGAUGACAGAAUCGCUGGCCCGUUCUCGUUGCCAGCAAAGUAGGGCCAAAAAUUUGAAUUUGACCAGAGCUGCUCUUUUGGUUAUUAUGUCGAUUGGGACAAACCUAUCAGAACAAAGACUUGUAUGAAGAUGGUUCUGGAACGAGCACUACCAAAUGAUAAAGGCAUCCGGGAAGUUGUAACUGACCGCAACCAGUGGGAAAAAGUGUCUCCAAUCAAAAAAUCGUUGAAUAAGAGGGGAGGACCGUGAAGUUUGUUAAUCUCCUAAGAUUCUUAUAUAAGACAUCGAUUAGCAGAUUUAUCACCGAAUGCAAACCAUUAAAGCGGGUCAGUUAUCGAGUAAGCUGGUUAACCACUUGUUUAUUAUUCGGUCGGUGGAUGAACCUGGUUGACACGAUGAAGAAUUGUGCGGAGUAAAAUGGUGGAGAAUAAAAAGAUAACAAAAUAUUAGAAUUUUUUAUUUAAACAUUAAUAUCACAAACCAAAAGAAACAAGGGCUUGAAAAAUAACUAAAAUUCUA